Molecule: ribosomal RNA, 483 nt
Filed under: uncultured bacterium
Lineage: Bacteria
Description: bacterial SSU rRNA
Rfam family: Bacterial small subunit ribosomal RNA
Source: RNAcentral
UAGCGGAACUCCUACGGGAGGCAGCAGUGGGGAAUAUUGCACAAUGGGCGCAAGCCUGAUGCAGCCAUGCCGCGUGUGUGAAGAAGGCCUUCGGGUUGUAAAGCACUUUCAGCGGGGAGGAAGGCGUUAAGGUUAAUAACCUUGGCGAUUGACGUUACCCGCAGAAGAAGCACCGGCUAACUCCGUGCCAGCAGCCGCGGUAAUACGGAGGGUGCAAGCGUUAAUCGGAAUUACUGGGCGUAAAGCGCACGCAGGCGGUCUGUCAAGUCGGAUGUGAAAUCCCCGGGCUUAACCUGGGAACUGCAUUCGAAACUGGCAGGCUAGAGUCUUGUAGAGGGGGGUAGAAUUCCAGGUGUAGCGGUGAAAUGCGUAGAGAUCUGGAGGAAUACCGGUGGCGAAGGCGGCCCCCUGGACAAAGACUGACGCUCAGGUGCGAAAGCGUGGGGAGCAAACAGGAUUAGAUACCCUAGUAGUCCACUUAUG